RNAcentral lists this long non-coding RNA (3703 nucleotides) under Canis lupus familiaris (dog). RNAcentral's name for it is "lncRNA (ENSCAFG00040021718.1)". Lineage: Eukaryota; Metazoa; Chordata; Mammalia; Carnivora; Canidae. The record is from RNAcentral.
AUGGCCAUUAGAGGGCGCCCGGGAGCAAGCCCGUCCGCUCUCGCACCACUUCCCACGGCAGCCCUCCUGGCUUCCAGCUCCGCCAUGCUCUCUGAUUCCUGCUCUCAGAUUUUGCACAAAGGAAAAAUGACCCCAGAGGAUUUGCUAUAUAGGUAGGUAUCAGGAGGCUGAAAUAUUUAUUGCUCCCUGAUUUCUUUAAGUACAGUCAUGACUACUUGUGAAAAUGAGAAUGAGGAGGACCUCUUGUCAGCAAAUGUGGCAUCCUUGGGAUCAAUGUCUUUCCUACAUACAGGAAAAGGCACUCCAACCUUAACUUAAAACACCAAGUACAAGUACUAAGCACAAUUACUAAAUGGGUAAUCACGCCUACAUAUUCAUAUCUCAUUUGACCCUAAGAGCAUCCUUCCCUUUGAGAUGGGAAGAAAAUAGUAUUAUCUUAAAAUUAUCUUCUUUUCAUUGAAGAGAAUACAUGUUCAGAGAUGGUAAGAUGGGUAAGAGCCUAGGUAUGCUGCUUAAACCUGCCUCCUGAGUCUAUCACGCUAAUAGUGAGAGGUUUCUAUGUCUGUUUCCUCAUCUUUAAAGUGGUGAUAAUAAUACUGACUUUAUAGGGUUGGUGGAGGGUUGAGUUAACUUAAAUAGAGUCCUGAGAGCAGAGCAUUACAACAGGUAUUCAGCAAGUGUAAGCUGGUAUAAUAUAAUUUGGUAAUUAGUAGUAAUAGUCUGAAUUAGUAAGUGGAAGAAUUGGGUUUUGAAAAUAAGGUCCAACUCCACAUUUAGUGUUCUUUUAAUCAUAGAACACUUGUCUUAGAUUACCUCACUAUUCCUAGGGAGGUCAAUUAGGUAUUAUAUGGCACCACAGAAAGACACAAUUGAAUAAAGAUAGUAUUAUAUAUUAUAUAAAUAUCACCAAUUUAGUGCUCAAAUGCUAACUUGUUACUUAAAAUUAUAAGCAUUACUAAAGUACACAGUAUUUUUACACAGCUUCAAAAAAUUUUAUAUGUAGGAGUGCCUGGGUGGCUCAGUCAGUUAAGUGUUGGACUCUUGGUUUUACUCAGGUCACGAUCUCUGGUCUUAAGAUUGAGCCCCGGGUGAGCUUUGUGCUUAGUGGAGUCUGCUUCAGAUUCUCUCUCCUUCCCGCUCACUCUGUCUCUCUCAAAUAAAUAAAUAAUCAAACAAACAAAUAAAUAAUUUAAAAAUAAAAAAUUUGUAUGUAGUAAAACUCACCUUCUUAAGUAUAGAGCUCUGAGUUUUGACAAGCACAUACAGUUGUGAACCACUAACACAAUCAAGGCAUAGAACAGUUCUUUGAGUUUAUUUUUGAGCAAAAACUUUGGUGAAUAUUCUAGAAGGAAUUUUUCUAACAUUAGAAGCCAUAAUAAGCACAUUUCCUUGAUGCAGGGACUUAAAGGUAUUUGAAAAUUGGAUAAGAAUUCUCCACUCAUUUAUGUAUUGAUUCAGGAAGUGUUUAGUGAGUUUUUUCUAUAUGUAUAGACUGUGUUGUUGUCUAUGAAGAUGUGGAGAAAGUAUAAUCGCUUUGUUUUGCAUUUCUACUUUGGUGCUAACAGAUUAAUCAGGAGAGGGAAAUAAUGCAGUUUUCCUAAAUUCAUUUUAAAAAGAAGGCAUGAGAAGAAGGAUGAUGAAGUGUCAGUGCUUCUCUAAUAAGCAUGUAUUAAAAAAUAAUAUCCUCGGGAUGCCUGGGUGGCUCAGUGGUUGAGCAUCUGCCUUUGGCUCAGGGUGUGAUCUCGCCGCCCCAGAAUCGAGUCCCGCAUUGGACUCCCUGCAUGCAGCCUGCUUCUGUCUCUGCCUAUGUCUCUGCUUCUCUCUCUCUCUGUCUCUCAUGAAUAAUAAAUAAAAUCUUUAAAAAAAAUAUCCUUCCUCCCACAAUAAAACCUGCAACUCGGUUUAAUUUCUCAAUAUUGGCUGCAGACCAUCUAUCUCUGGGUGGACACAAUCCCUGUCCUAAGCAGUUUAUAGUACAGUAGAGCAGAUAAUUAUAAUACAAGGCAGAAAUUUAUCAGAGGUACACAAUGAUAUGUAUUCAGAGAUGGGGGAGGUAAUGGUGGGAGAAUUCAUAAAGGCUUUAUAAAAGGUAUAGUAUUUAAGUAGGGUCUUGAAAAAGAGGUAGAAUUUCAACAAGUGCUAUUCAUGGAGAGAGGAGAAAAGUUCAUAUGCAUGCUAUAAAGGUGCUGCAUUGUCCAAUCUGGUAGCCACUAGCCAUACAUGGCUAUUUCAAUUUAAAUGAAAAUAAAAUUAAAAUAAAAAUACAGCUCCUCAGUCACACUAGUCACAUUUCAAAUACUUAACAGCCACAUGUGGCUAGUGACUACUGUAUUAGACAGGAUAGAGUAGAACAUUUCCAUCACAACAGAAAGUUCUAUUAGAUAGUGUUUCUAUAGAAGGAAUGACAAUGAAAGGUCAGGAGGUGGGAACAAUGAAUUAUCUAAAUUUCUGUUCAAGCCUUUGAACAAAAUACCAGAAAUAAUGGUAUAUCUAUGUAUUUCCUUCUCAAAUAUAAAUUGGAAAUAUAAGCCUAUGUAAAGAUCAAUGACUCAUUUAUUUCACUGGCUGGUCUGGUUCAAUAAUCAUGCUGAGUUCAUGGUAUAAAUCAAUAAUGAAGACAUAAGACUUAACAGGCCUAUCUAAUUGCUCCAUCUAUCUGAGCAUGCAGAUCACAGUGGCUGAAAGCCAGGCCCUAGGGCCUAGCCAAGUGUGGGUGCUGCUGUUUUUUCUGGCAGAUUCCUGUUAGCUGACUGGGUCCAAGCUGAAUGACUUGGGCUGUCAUAGAUGCAGUUCCCUAAAACCAUGCUCAUUGUUAAAUCAUCUGCUUCUUUUUGGAAGUAGUGGCAGUAUCCAUUGUAAAACCUAAAGGCAGAUAGAGGUUUGAGGAAGCUAUAACUCAGAGAAACAAGUCCUGCCACAUAAAUAUGGAUGAACCGGGUGAUGUGUGACUGCAGUCAUUGAUAAACUUGUGAAGGUAUAGAAUUUAGCCUUUAGGUAGUAGGAGCUGUUUUCUGCUCUUUCUGAAGGGCAGUUUGGUUAACCCAUACAAAGUUGUAGUGCUGUUCUUACAGAACCAAUAAGGUCAUCACUUCCCUGGGUCCAAAUGGAUAGAAGUAUGUCAGACCAGGAAACCAUGUAUCAAGGUUUUCCAUAUCUAUGAGAGUCUAAAAUGUGUGUCUUCAUUGGCUUAAGAAAAAAUCUAGAAUAUCAAUUAUCUGAGGAAACCAAAGACAGUCCCAAGUAUACUGAAUUAAUAUCUUUUGGUUGAAUGGUCCUACUUAAUUUUAUAUUCAAUCAUUGCUUACAGUUUAACUUUGAGUCCUUUAAAAUAUUAUUCAAUAAUAAUUGACUUUUAAUAUGCAUUUUUAUUUUUGGACACCACCGUUAGGUGUUUCACUUAUCUAUGCUCAUUAGACAGCAAAAAAAUGUUCUUUCAAAAAAAUUAAGAGUACCAGGAAAAGACAGGGGGAAAAACAGUGAGCUGCUAACUUUAAAUAAUUACUUUUUAAAAGUAAGAUUAUUAUAUGGAUAACACACAUUCUAUAUAUAUAUAUAUAUAUAUAUAUACUGAUUUUGCUUUUCUUAUGAGGAAGCUUUAGAACCAUAUUUUUCCUCCAAAGAUUGGUAUUUAGAAGAGCCAUCUAAGCCAUCUUGCAACAUUAUUAACAUAUAAACAUAUUUUCAUAUAAUGUCAACCAAUAGA